RNAcentral lists this transfer RNA (74 nucleotides) under Deltaproteobacteria bacterium. RNAcentral describes it as "tRNA-Met". It matches the Rfam family "tRNA". From Rfam's summary of the family: Transfer RNA (tRNA) molecules are approximately 80 nucleotides in length. Their secondary structure includes four short double-helical elements and three loops (D, anti-codon, and T loops). The record is from RNAcentral. Lineage: Bacteria; Pseudomonadati; Myxococcota; Myxococcia.
GGCAGGGUAGCUCAGCUGGUUAGAGCGCCGGAUUCAUAACCCGGAGGUCGGGAGUUCAAGUCUCCCCCUCGCCA